Oryza rufipogon (brownbeard rice) is the source of this 204-nucleotide microRNA precursor. It matches the Rfam family "MIR812 microRNA precursor family". NCBI's taxonomy places the organism in Eukaryota, Viridiplantae, Streptophyta, Magnoliopsida, Poales, Poaceae. The record is from Rfam.
AAUAAAUUUAUCUACGGGUUUCUGUGUCUAACAUUUGAUAUCCGUUUUAUUUAAAUUUUUUUAUGAUUAGUACUUUUAUUGUUAUUAGAUAUAAAACAUGAAUAAUAAUUUAUGCGUGACUUAUUUUUAAAUUUUUUUCAUAAUUUUUUUUAAAUAAGACAGACGAUCAAAUGUUGGACACAGAAGCCCAGAAAUGAACUUAUU